Molecule: ribosomal RNA, 511 nt
Filed under: uncultured Prolixibacter sp.
Lineage: Bacteria; Pseudomonadati; Bacteroidota; Bacteroidia; Marinilabiliales; Prolixibacteraceae
Description: bacterial SSU rRNA
Rfam family: Bacterial small subunit ribosomal RNA
Source: RNAcentral
CAGCCAUCCCGCGUGCAGGAUGACGGCCCUACGGGUUGUAAACUGCUUUUAUGUACCAAGAAUAGGCGCUACGUGUAGCGUUAUGACGGUAGUACAUGAAUAAGCAUCGGCUAACUCCGUGCCAGCAGCCGCGGUAAUACGGAGGAUGCAAGCGUUAUCCGGAUUCAUUGGGUUUAAAGGGUGCGUAGGCGGCUAUAUAAGUCAGUGGUGAAAUGCUGCAGCUCAACUGUAGAACUGCCAUUGAAACUGUAAGCUUGAGUGCGCCUGAGGAGGCGGAAUAGUAGUGUAGCGGUGAAAUGCUUAGAUAUUACUCAGAACACCGAUUGCGAAGGCAGCUUACUAAAGCGUAACUGACGCUGAUGCACGAAAGCGUGGGGAGCGAACAGGAUUAGAUACCCUGGUAGUCCACGCCGUAAACGAUGAUAACUCGCUGUUGGCGAUACACAGUCAGCGCUAAGCGAAAGCAUUAAGUUAUCCACCUGGGGAGUACGAUCGCAAGGUUGAAACUCAA